UGUCUGCUGAUGUACAAAUUUCAUUUCUGUUUUGUUCUAAAUAAGCAGCAUUACCUUUAGCCUAGUAGGUGCUUCAUCUGGGAAUGCACUCACGACUGCUUGGCAUUUAUUAAUAAAUGAGUGGGACGGGGUCACCUCCUUUGUAAUUGCAAAUCUGUCAACUCUUAUUUUCAACUCCCUUCUUUUGUUCCUCUCACUCCAUAGACUGCUGGACACCCUUCUUGUACCUUGGCGCUAGCUGGAUGACAGGACCUUAUCAUGAUCAGUGUAUUCCCUGCCUAUGUCUACAAGAACCUUCACGCGUGGCCUGUGACAGCAAGCUUUUGUGGGCAGCCAGUUCUCCUACGAAGGCUGGCCUGCUCUGGCAGCGGCGGCAGUCAUCUUCAAGAUUUAUCCAUGGUCACCUUUGCUGCUAUUUGUCACUCUUGUUAAUUACACUUCCUGCAUCUUUUCUAAUUUAUUAGGUAAUAAAGUAUGACUAUGUGACAUGGUGUGAA
RNAcentral lists this long non-coding RNA (497 nucleotides) under Dermacentor andersoni. RNAcentral describes it as "uncharacterized LOC126526443". The record is from RNAcentral. Lineage: Eukaryota; Metazoa; Arthropoda; Arachnida; Ixodida; Ixodidae.